This 253-nucleotide ribosomal RNA is filed under the name uncultured bacterium. RNAcentral describes it as "partial 16S ribosomal RNA". It matches the Rfam family "Bacterial small subunit ribosomal RNA", at positions 524 to 776 of the family's 1533-position model. The record is from RNAcentral. RNAcentral also lists the same sequence under 1 other name.
UACGAAGGGGGCUAGCGUUGUUCGGAAUUACUGGGCGUAAAGGGCGCGUAGGCGGUGCUGUAAGUCAGGCGUGAAAUCCCCGGGCUCAACCUGGGAAUUGCGCAUGAUACUGCGGCGCUGGAAUGCGGGAGAGGAUGGCGGAAUUCCCAGUGUAGAGGUGAAAUUCGUAGAUAUUGGGAAGAACACCGGUGGCGAAGGCGGCCAUCUGGCCCGUGAUUGACGCUGAGGCGCGAAAGCGUGGGGAGCAAACAGG